Salarias fasciatus (jewelled blenny) is the source of this 292-nucleotide long non-coding RNA. RefSeq lists it as uncharacterized. NCBI's taxonomy places the organism in Eukaryota, Metazoa, Chordata, Actinopteri, Blenniiformes, Blenniidae. The record is from RefSeq and is a predicted model, not a curated record. The transcript is spliced from 2 exons.
GUGUGUGUGUGUGUGUGUGUGUGUGUGUGUGGGUGCGGUUUUGGGGGUUGAAGUCACCCCAGUGGUUGAAUGCCAAGUUUUUCAGGGGGAUAUGAAGCUGUGCAGCUUUACGAGACCUCAGCCUGUGUAGGAUACUUAGACACUCACACCACAGACACACACACGCACACAAUGUACAAUAUAUGCAUGGGUUGCAUAUAUACACACACAUACACACACGUACAGCACAUACAUGGCCACAGAUGUCUGGUGGUCAAAGAUACGCUGGCACAAGCAACAAGAAAGGGAAUAA